ACAUACGACCACAGGGUGUGGAGAACAGGGCUUCCUGUCCGCUCAGCCGUACUUAAGCCAUACACCGGGAGGUUAGUAGUUAGGUAGGUGACCACCAGCAAAUCCCUUCUAUUAUAUAUU
This 120-nucleotide ribosomal RNA is filed under the name Aspergillus niger. Lineage: Eukaryota; Fungi; Ascomycota; Eurotiomycetes; Eurotiales; Aspergillaceae. The record is from RNAcentral.